RNAcentral lists this ribosomal RNA (408 nucleotides) under uncultured bacterium. RNAcentral describes it as "partial 16S ribosomal RNA". It matches the Rfam family "Bacterial small subunit ribosomal RNA", at positions 28 to 526 of the family's 1533-position model. The record is from RNAcentral.
GACGAACGCUGGCGGCGUGCUUAACACAUGCAAGUCGAGCGGAAUGGCGAACGGGUGGGUAACACAUGGGUGACCUGCCCUGCACUUCGGGAUAAGCCUGGGAAACUGGGGCUAAUACCGGAUAGUGUGGGAUGGGCCCGCGGCCUAUGGGCUUGUUGGGGGGGUAAUGGCCGACCAAGGCUGCGCCUGGUAGCCGGCCUGGGAGGGUGGACGGCCACAUGGCGACUGAGACACGGCCCAGACGCCUACGGGAGGCAGCGGGGGGGAAUAUUGCACAAUGGGCGGAAGCCUGAUGCAGCGACGCCGGGUGGGGGAUGACGGCUUUCGGGUUGUAAACUCCUUUCACCAUCGACGCGGUAGAUGGAGAAGAAGCACCGGCUAACUACGUGCCAGCAGCCGCGGUAAUUC